Molecule: ribosomal RNA, 522 nt
Filed under: Staphylococcus sp.
Lineage: Bacteria; Bacillati; Bacillota; Bacilli; Caryophanales; Staphylococcaceae
Description: bacterial SSU rRNA
Rfam family: Bacterial small subunit ribosomal RNA
Source: RNAcentral
AGUUUGAUCAUGGCUCAGGAUGAACGCUGGCGGCGUGCCUAAUACAUGCAAGUCGAGCGAACAGAUAAGGAGCUUGCUCCUUUGACGUUAGCGGCGGACGGGUGAGUAACACGUGGAUAACCUACCUAUAAGACUGGGAUAACUUCGGGAAACCGGAGCUAAUACCGGAUAACAUAUUGAACCGCAUGGUUCAAUAGUGAAAGGCGGCUUUGCUGUCACUUAUAGAUGGAUCCGCGCCGUAUUAGCUAGUUGGUAAGGUAACGGCUUACCAAGGCAACGAUACGUAGCCGACCUGAGAGGGUGAUCGGCCACACUGGAACUGAGACACGGUCCAGACUCCUACGGGAGGCAGCAGUAGGGAAUCUUCCGCAAUGGGCGAAAGCCUGACGGAGCAACGCCGCGUGAGUGAUGAAGGUCUUCGGAUCGUAAAACUCUGUUAUCAGGGAAGAACAAAUGUGUAAGUAACUGUGCACAUCUUGACGGUACCUGAUCAGAAAGCCACGGCUAACUACGUGCCAGCAG